RNAcentral lists this long non-coding RNA (463 nucleotides) under Rattus norvegicus (Norway rat). RNAcentral describes it as "long non-coding RNA NONRATT029939". The record is from RNAcentral. Lineage: Eukaryota; Metazoa; Chordata; Mammalia; Rodentia; Muridae.
UCAUGGCACCCCCAGAGAGAGACAAGUCACCUUCUGAGGGAGAUGUGGCACCUCCCAAGAGGAUCAUGGCACCCCCAGAGAGAGACAAAUCACCUUCUGAGGGAGAUGUGGCACCUCCCAAGAGGAUCAUGGCACCCCCAGAGAGAGACAAGUCACCUUCUGAGGGAGAUGUGACACCUCCCAAGAGGAUCAUGGCACCCCCAGAGAGAGACAAGUCACCUUCUGAGGGAGAUGUGGCACCACCUAAAGGGAUCAUGGCACCCCCAGAGAUAGACAAGUCACCUUCUGAGGGAGAUGUGGCACCACCUAAAGGGAUCAUGGAGCCUCCUGAGAGGGACAUGUUACUUCCAAAGGGAGACAUACCACCUGCUAAGACUAUCACUGAUACCAACUUGGAGACGCCUUCAGAUACAGAGAGACAAGACCAAAGUGUCCAGGAGGAGGAGUUGACCCUGGUGGUACC